UCCGUAGGCGGGCAGCUCAGUCAGUGGUGAAAGUUUGCAGCUCAACUGUAAAAUUGCCAUUGAUACUGGUUGUCUUGAAUUAAUGUGAAGUGGUUAGAAUAUGUAGUGUAGCGGUGAAAUGCAUAGAUAGUACAUGGAAUACCAAUUGCGAAGGCAGAUCACUAACAUUAUAUUGACGCUGAUGGACGAAAGCGUGGGGAGCGAACAGGAUUAGAUACCCUGGUAGUC
This 228-nucleotide ribosomal RNA is filed under the name uncultured bacterium. Its description in RNAcentral is "partial 16S ribosomal RNA". It matches the Rfam family "Bacterial small subunit ribosomal RNA", at positions 568 to 795 of the family's 1533-position model. The record is from RNAcentral.